Ceratobasidium sp. 394 is the source of this 83-nucleotide non-coding RNA. The record is from the annotation of a GenBank genome assembly. Lineage: Eukaryota; Fungi; Basidiomycota; Agaricomycetes; Cantharellales; Ceratobasidiaceae.
ACGUGCAUGGUGAAGUGGUUAUCAUGCUUGCCUUCCAUCGCAGGUGUCAGCAAGCGAGACGGGUUCGAUUCCCGUUGGGCGUA